UAGCUAGUUGGUGGGGUAAGGGCCUACCAAGGCGACGAUCGGUAGCUGGUCUGAGAGGAUGACCAGCCACACUGGAANUGAGACACGGUCCAGACUCCUACGGGAGGCAGCAGUGGGGAAUAUUGGACAAUGGGGGCAACCCUGAUCCAGCAAUGCCGCGUGCGUGAAGAAGGCCUGAGGGUUGUAAAGCACUUUCAGUGGGGAGGAGGGUUGAUAGGUUAAGAGCUAAUUAACUGGACGUUACCCACAGAAGAAGCACCGGCUAACUCCGUGCCAGCAGCCGCGGUAAUACGGAGGGUGCGAGCGUUAAUCGGAAUUACUGGGCGUAAAGGGUGCGUAGGUGGUUGAUUAAGUUAUCUGUGAAAUUCCUGGGCUUAACCUGGGACGGUCAGAUAAUACUGGUUGACUCGAGUAUGGGAGAGGGUAGUGGAAUUUCCGGUGUAGCGGUGAAAUGCGUAGAGAUCGGAAGGAACACCAGUGGCGAAGGCGGCUACCUGGCCUAAUACUGACACUGAGGCACGAAAGCGUGGGGAGCAAACAGGAUUAGAUACCCUGGUAGUCCACGCUGUAAACGAUGUCAACUAGCUGUUGGUUAUAUGAAAAUAAUUAGUGGCGC
RNAcentral lists this ribosomal RNA (616 nucleotides) under uncultured Legionella sp. Its description in RNAcentral is "bacterial SSU rRNA". It matches the Rfam family "Bacterial small subunit ribosomal RNA", at positions 242 to 849 of the family's 1533-position model. Lineage: Bacteria; Pseudomonadati; Pseudomonadota; Gammaproteobacteria; Legionellales; Legionellaceae. The record is from RNAcentral.